Non-coding RNA from Camellia sinensis, 1031 nucleotides. NCBI's taxonomy places the organism in Eukaryota, Viridiplantae, Streptophyta, Magnoliopsida, Ericales, Theaceae. The record is from RefSeq and is a predicted model, not a curated record.
GACUCAUAAGCCUAAGACAUAACUAUCCACGGUCCCAAAUGAGUUGCUCAUCAUCCAAUGCAUGCCAAAUCCAACUUGGGCUUAGAGGCAUCUCUUCCUCAUCUCCUGUAGGCUGCUGUCACUUGCCUCCAUCAAGAACCCUAACCCUCAAUUGUUACUCCUUUCAAUUUGUGUUAUCAAUAGAAUAGGAAUAAUUAUUAUCUUACUCUUUCAGUUAUAUUAUUUGUCAACAGUUCCUGUUGCACUGGAAAAUUGAUUUUUAUCAUGCCUUAGUUUUAAAAAUUAUCAAUUGUCUAGCUUUUGACUUAACAUGCAUUGCGAGAAGUUUAACAAUUAAAAUUAAAUAAAUAAAUAAAUAAAAUUAUGACAUUCUAAUUUUUUAUUGUCUUAUCAUCAACAACUUGACAGUGCACUUUGACAUGCUUCAUCAUCUCAUGUAACUUGAAGUUUGCAGUAAUCGUGGGUGGAUAUCACAAAAAGAAUCCUCAUGGCUUUAAGUGUUCAUUCUUUCUGAGAAGGGGUCAGGGUUUUCUUGCUGCUAGAAGGGAUUUGGUUUCAGAAAGGAGGGCUAGUUAUGGAGAUGGGAAGACAAUGGUCAUUUAACUUGGAAAAUGCUUUGGAAUCUCACACAAAGGACAAGCAUAGUGCUAGAAAAUAAAUGGAUUUAAAGAGAGAGCUUCUUAUGAAUCCUGAUUGGAAAAUCUACGCUUAGUCUAUUAGGUACAUUUUUGUAACACUAACCUUUGUUGUCUAGUAACUUCUUAUAUUUGAAGCGUUAAUGUCAAUUUGGUAUGAAUAUAAUACGGUAUAAGGUUUUGCCAUUGGAUUGUCCAUUGAUCAUUGUAUUCACUCUGUCUAUUAAUAUGGCAAUUCCCUCAGUAGUACUCGUUCACUAUUUGCCAGUUUGAGAGAGGUGGAAUAUCUGGUGUGCUAUAUGCUCUACUACGUUCACUUGGGCCAGUUGUUACUAGAUUGCAUUCUAUGGAUUAAGGUUGCAAUCUUUUGAUUACGACAAUUUGUAGUUCACUAAA